UUGUUGAACUGUGGUUCUGAGUAUGGUAGAGGUCAGGCGGAAUUUCCCGGUGUAGCGGUGGGAAAUGCGUAGAGAUCGGAAAGAACACCAGAGGCGAAGGCGGCUGACUGGAUCAAUACUGACGCUGAGGCUCGAAAGCGUGGGGAGCAAACAGGAUUUAGAUACCCUUGGUAGUCCACGCUGUAAACGAUGAACACUAGAUGUCGGGAGAGGUUUCUUCCGGUGUCGUCGCUAACGCAGUAAGUGUUCCGCCUGGGGAGUACGCUCGCAAGGGUGAAACUCAAAGGAAUUGACGGGGGCCCGCACAAGCGGUGGAGCAUGUGGUUUAAUUCGAUGCAACGCGAAGAACCUUACCUGGGCUUGACAUGGGAAUGACCGCUCGAGAGAUCGAGUUUUCUCUUCGGAGACAUUCCGCACAGGUGCUGCAUGGCUGUCGUCAGCUCGUGUUGUGAGAUGUUCGGUUAAGUCCGGCAACGAGCGCAAC
This 484-nucleotide ribosomal RNA is filed under the name uncultured bacterium. Its description in RNAcentral is "bacterial SSU rRNA". It matches the Rfam family "Bacterial small subunit ribosomal RNA", at positions 625 to 1102 of the family's 1533-position model. The record is from RNAcentral.